RNAcentral lists this ribosomal RNA (253 nucleotides) under uncultured bacterium. RNAcentral describes it as "partial 16S ribosomal RNA". It matches the Rfam family "Bacterial small subunit ribosomal RNA", at positions 524 to 776 of the family's 1533-position model. The record is from RNAcentral.
UACGUAGGUGGCUAGCGUUGUCCGGAUUUACUGGGCGUAAAGCGCGCUCAGGCGGUCGUUCAAGUCGAGUGUGAAAGCCCCCGGCUCAACUGGGGAGGGUCACUCGAUACGGAUCGACUUGAAGGCAGAAGAGGGAAGCGGAAUUCCCGGUGUAGUGGUGAAAUGCGUAGAUAUCGGGAGGAACACCAGUGGCGAAGGCGGCUUUCUGGUCUGUUCUUGACGCUGAGGCGCGAAAGCUAGGGUAGCAAACGGG